RNAcentral lists this unclassified non-coding RNA (330 nucleotides) under soil metagenome. RNAcentral's name for it is "partial contains 5.8S ribosomal RNA, internal transcribed spacer 2, and large subunit ribosomal RNA". The stretch from base 1 to 121 matches the Rfam family "5.8S ribosomal RNA", at positions 35 to 154 of the family's 154-position model. The record is from RNAcentral.
GAUGAAGAACGCAGCGAAUUGCGAUAUGUAAUGUGAAUUGCAGAUUUUCAGUGAAUCAUCGAAUCUUUGAACGCACCUUGCGCUCCUUGGUAUUCCGGGGAGCAUGCCUGUUCGAGCGUCAUUACAACCCUCAAGCUCUGCUUGGUGUUGGGCCCCGCCGCCCCGGCGGGCCCUAAAGUCAGUGGCGGUGCCGUCCGGCUCCGAGCGUAGUAAUUUUUCUCGCUUUGGAGGCCCGGGCGCGUGCUCGCCAUCAACCCCCAAUUUUUUUCAGGUUGACCUCGGAUCAGGUAGGGAUACCCGCUGAACUUAAGCAUAUCAAUAAGCGGAGGA